CGAACGGUAACGCGGGGCAACCUGGCGACGAGUGGCGAACGGGUGAGUAAUACAUCGGAACGUGCCCAGUAGUGGGGGAUAGCCCGGCGAAAGCCGGAUUAAUACCGCAUACGACCUACGGGUGAAAGCAGGGGACCGCAAGGCCUUGCGCUAUUGGAGCGGCCGAUGUCAGAUUAGGUUGUUGGUGGGGUAAAAGCCCACCAAGCCGACGAUCUGUAGCUGGUCUGAGAGGACGACCAGCCACACUGGGACUGAGACACGGCCCAGACUCCUACGGGAGGCAGCAGUGGGGAAUUUUGGACAAUGGGCGCAAGCCUGAUCCAGCCAUGCCGCGUGCGGGAAGAAGGCCUUCGGGUUGUAAACCGCUUUUGUCAGGGAAGAAACGCUCUGGGCUAAUACCCUGGGGUAAUGACGGUACCUGAAGAAUAAGCACCGGCUAACUACGUGCCAGCAGCCGCGGUAAUACGUAGGGUGCAAGCGUUAAUCGGAAUUACUGGGCGUAAAGCGUGCGCAGGCGGUCUUGCAAGACAGGUGUGAAAUCCCCGGGCUUAACCUGGGAACUGCAUUUGUGACUGCAAGGCUAGAGUACGGUAGAGGGGGAUGGAAUUCCGCGUGUAGCAGUGAAAUGCGUAGAUAUGCGGAGGAACACCGAUGGCGAAGGCAAUCCCCUGGACCUGUACUGACGCUCAUGCACGAAAGC
This 700-nucleotide ribosomal RNA is filed under the name uncultured Burkholderiales bacterium. RNAcentral describes it as "bacterial SSU rRNA". It matches the Rfam family "Bacterial small subunit ribosomal RNA", at positions 63 to 760 of the family's 1533-position model. Lineage: Bacteria; Pseudomonadati; Pseudomonadota; Betaproteobacteria; Burkholderiales. The record is from RNAcentral.